CGCAGCCCCGCCUCCCAUGCGUGCCAUGGCGUCGCUCUUGUCGUGCGCUGGGAGUGCGGGGGGAGGGGCUCCGGCCGCCAUUGCUGCUUGGCUGCUGCGCUGCCGCUGUCCUGGCGCGGAGCCCAUCUGCCGAUUGAAGCGCACCGCGGCGUGACCGCAGGGGCCCAGCGGAGGGUGCAGACGAGGUCCCGACGCGAGCCCCAGCUGCCCACAGCCGCCCGGUCCGGAGCCCGAAGGGCCCUCCCUUCCCCCGUUGCUAGGCAGCCGCGUCGGGCGAGGGAGGCGGGGCACGGGAGGGGCGGCUCCCCGCCUUGGACUAGUACUGCAUCCUGGGCUGCUUCGGACAGGGUGCGCACGGCGUCGUCUUCAAGGGACUGGCGAGAUCGUUGCCCUCAAGAAGGUGGCUCUGCAGCAGCUGGAGGAUGGCAUCCCCCCAACCAGGUCCUGCGGGAGAUCAAGGCCCUUCAGGAGAUGGAGGAUAAUCAGUAUAUGAGUGAGGCUGGGCCCUGGAGGCCCUUCCUCCCUCCUGCAUUCCCUACAAUUUAUCCUCUCAAUUACUUCUCCACCUGGCCACCCUCAUUCACCCAGUUACUGCGUUCCUCUCUCCUUCCCUCUCCCAUUCACACACUCAUUUUUUCAUUUACUCAUUCAUUCAUUCACUAACAUAUACUUUUUCUUUUAUAACGUCUAGUGAUUUCUAACAAUAGUGGUAACUGCCUCCUGUUGCCCUCCUGUCAGGCUCUGCAGGCUGAGCUAACUGUUACCCUACAUUGCUCUUGUGAGUUCACCACCUCACAAGACAGGUUUCAGGAUCUCCCUCUUGGCGCCAGUGCACCCUCACACAGUGAGCAGGAGCAAAGCCCGGCAGGCCCCAAGCGACCUUAAGGAGCACCAAGCACAGGGACAGAGAUGCCUGAUAGAUGAACACAUCAAUGCGUAUGUCCAGGUUCUGAUGAGGACAGGAGACUGGGUAGGGCAGGAAGAGAGCUGGAGGGACACAAGCCUGUUAGAAGUUCUGUGUGGAUGAGGUCAUCCCCUCCCUGCCUGAAAUGCCCCAGGGGCUUCUCUUUACUGCUUCUGCCUGUCUCCAGCCUCUCUCUCCAUUUAUCCGGUACACUUCUUAAGCGUCUCUGCCAAGCACCAUCUAGGCUCCAGGAGCACAGAAAAGCAGGCGUCCUUCCCCCGAGGGCCCACAGGCUUGUGUCCCUCCAGCCCUCUUCCUGCACCCUCAUUGUGCUUGCUGUCCCUCUGCCUGGAGCUCCUUCCAGAACCAGCCCUGCCCUACCCAGUCUCUAGGUUGUGGCUGGAGGCUGCAAGGGGAGUCCGAGCCAUGUGAGCCCAGAGGCUGACCGGGUGCCUGCCUGCAGGAAGUACAGCUAAAGGCUCCUACAUGGCGUGGGCUUUGUGCUGGCCUUUGAGUUCAUGCUGUCAGAUCUGGCUGAGGUGAGGUGGUGUGCCACGUUACCUGCAAAUGCUGCUCAAGGGCGUUGCCUCCUGCCACACCAGCAACAUCGUGCAGCGGCCGAGGCCCUCUGGGGCCUCCUGGGGAACUGAAGCCUCCUUUGGUGCCCACGGGACUUGAAACCAGCCAACCUGCUCAUCAGUGCCUCAGGCCAGCUCAAGAUAGCAGACUUUGGCCUGGCCUGGGUCUUCUCCCCAGAUGACACCUGCCUCUCCACACACCAGGUGGCCACCAGGUAGGGAGGGCCAGUUCCCAGACAGGGCCUGGCAACUGACAGGCCUUGAUCCUCUCAUUGUGGACGAGAUGCUUCUGGAUUCUCGUGGGGCUGGGGUGGGACUUGGGUGACCUUCCAGGGCAGCCUUGUGUCAGACAGGUGACCUGGCUAUGAGCACCCCCUCUUCCUCACAGGUGGUACUGAGCCCCCGAGCUCCUGUACAGGGCCUGGCAGUGGGAACAGGGGGUCGGCCUAUGGUGAGAUUCCUGAGGGUGGGGCAAGGGGAGUGUGGGUUAUGGGGUCACAUUUUUCUCCUGGGCUUUGAGGCCGCUCUGCUGUGUGGAGGUGUUUUCCUGCUGUGAGCUCUAAAUUUCUCCAGAUGUCUUCCUCAGUUUGGGUGUCUCUGAGGAGUUCAGGGACAGUGUCCCUGCCUGUGACAGUUUUGAGCUAGAUAGGGAUCAGGUGAGAUUGGAGUGGGAAGCUUCUGGGUUGCGGUGGGGGAGGUGGUCUGAGGCACAAGACAUGGGGCAUCUAAGCUAGUACAUAUGGGAUGACGUCCCAGAUGGAAUGCCCCUGAGCUGUCCAGGGCCUGGGUAUCUGAGCCUGUCCUUGGGACAGGAUGGCUGUAUAUGUCUAAGAGUUUGAGGUUUGGGAGCUGCUUCAGGGCGCUGCAUCCUGAUGUGAGGAGGUGGCUGUGUCCCAGAGGGCGUGCUCCCAGGAGUCUCUGCGCUGCUGAGGGGCUGCUGUGUGUUUUGGAGGUGAGGCCUGCAUGCUGCUUGGAGGAGGAUAUGCCCUGUGUUCUAGGCUGGAGGUCUUUGAUUGUUUAUGAGUCCCUGAUGAUGAGUGUCUGCUGCUUUGUGCAUGCCUUGGCCCAGUGGGGAGCUUUGUGGAGGCUGUGUGAGAAGAUGUGUGUCCUGUAAUGUAAGGUGAUGGAGCUGGUGUGGGGAGCCCCGUGUCCGUUGUGGCCAGGAUGGUGGUGGGGGAGCCCCGCAUCCGUGGUCGGGGGGAUGAUGGUAGGGGAGCCCCAUGUCCGUGGUGGUGGUGGGACCAUGGUGGGGGAGCCCCGAGUCCAUGGUGGGGGGACAGUGGUCGGGGAGCCCCACAUCUGUGGUAGCUGGGACAAUGGUGGAGGAGCCCCACGUCUGUGGUGGGGGGACCAUGGUCGGGGAGCCCCGUGUCCAUGGUGGGGGGAUGAUGGUGGGGGAGCCCCGCAUCUGUGGUGGCCGGGACGAUUGUGGGGGAGCCCUGCAUCUGUGGUGGAGUCUUUGAUCUGUGUGGGUUGUCUGUCCACAGGGCCGUGGGCUGCAUCCUAGGGAGUUGUUGAAUGGGUCCCUCCUUUUCCCAGGGGAGAAUGACAUCGAGCAGCUGUGCUGUGUUCUUUGCAUCUUGGUACCCCCAGCCCUCAAGUGUGGCCAGUUUGCAGGGCGUUUGCUGUUGGGAGGGGUGGGGCAGGUGCCCUUCAGGCUCCGGCGGCUCGUGACUCCCCUCCUGCACCAUCUCUUGCGGCCCCAUGCCCCCUGGCCCCACACUGGUUACCAGGGCCAUAAUGACCCAAGGGGUGGGGGGCACGUGAUGGGGGGCUGUGAGUGAGAAGUAGCAGGUUGGGAGCUUAAGCUGCUGAGCCAGGGUUGCUGGUGGGUAGGUGCCAGCCCGAAGUACCUCUGUCCCCAGGAGAUUACAGAGCUGCCCGACUACAAGAUCUUUUUCAAGGAUCAGGUGUCCAUUCCACUCAGGGAGGUGCUACCUGACGUCUCCCCUCAGGCCUUGGACCUGCUGGGGCACUUCCUCCUGUACCCUCCACACCAGCGCACUGCAGCCUCCCAGAUAGGGUGCCCCGUGGCCUGAGCCUCUGUGCUGGUGGCCAGGUGAGCCAUGGUGGGAGUCCCUCCUGACUUGGGUGGGCUGGACCAGGAGCCUGGGGAUGCUGAGGUGCCUUCCAUGAGCAGAGCCUGGGGCUGUGGGUGGGUUGGGGUGGCCUAGAAGGCAUGACCCCCUCACACCCGGGGAUUGGUGACUGGCUCCUUGGUGCCUCCAGUGAGUGUUUUCUUAGCACCAGGCAUGAGCAGGUCAUUGUCCUAGGCCUGUCCUGUCCCUGUGGGUCUCGUCCUGUGGUGAGGCAGGGCAUCCAGGCUGUGGGAACUCAGGUUGGGGAGGGAUGGGUUGGGAUGGACUUUGGGGUCAUAAGGUUUCCUGGGGAGGUAGAUGCUGGAGGGCUGCAGAGCGGGCCUAGGAGGGAGAUUGGGCGGGAAUGGUGGGGGAGCACUAGGGGCUGAUGGCCGAUGGUGUCGGCGCCUCACUCAGGCGCCCCUGGCCCCCGGCCUUGUGGCCACCAUUCCCCUCUGACCUCAGCUCGAGCAGCGUGGGUUUAUGCUCGCCCCUGGUGAGUUCUCAUGUCAGCAGCACUCUGUAGUGCUGGGGCCGCCCGACCACUUCCCGGCCCCCUGCUGCCUGCCCCGCUGCCUUGAAUCCACUUCUCUUGUCCAUUUGGUGUCCCCUCACUGGCAGUGGGAGCCACUUUGCCCAGGCAGGUCCGCCAGACCUCAGAGAAGCCAGGUCCUGUUGGCCCACAGGUAUCACACGCUUGAGGGCGUCACACACUUGGGGUUGUUAACCUGUGUCUUGCCAGCUCCUGUCCCACCUUUUUCGCUCUGCUUGGGCCCAGAGCCCCUCCACAUCCUGGGGCCUGUGCCCUUCUGCCCCUGCUGGGCUCCUGAACCACUGCAGGCUGGCGUGUACGCUUCCUUCCCUGGGGCUGAUUGCCCGACCGCCCUGGGCUUCCUUCAGCCACUCACUGCCCGAGCCCACUGGGUGGGAGCAUGCCCUGUGGGGAGCCUUUGCCUGAUCCCUGCUGCCUCCCCUCCUCGGGAGGGAGUGCUGCCCAGACAGUUAGCACUAGAAGGGAGCCCACUGAGCGGUGGGGGAUGAGGAGGAGGGCCUCUGUGGGGAGGUCUCUGUGUCCCUCCUCCGGAAGGUGAGCUGAGCUGGGACCGGGAGGUGACUUUGUCUUCUUCUGCCCUUUGCUUGCUGCCCCUGGGCCCCCCUGCACUCAUACUUCUUCACAGCUCCCGUGCCUGCCCACCCCUUGGAGCUGCCGAUUCCCCAGUGCACUGGGUGUCCUGCCCCCAAGGCCCACCCGGGUGCCCCCACAUCUGUGACUUCCACAUGGACCGGCCUCUUGAGGAGUCACUGUUGAACCCAGAGCCGAUUCAGCCCUUCAUCCCAGAGGGUUGCGAUGCUGGGCCAGUCCCACUGGCCUCAGCCCCAUGGCCACCUGGACCUCUCAUUCCUCUCUCCAGCCUGAUGACCUCCCACAGCUUCCCCAUGGCUACCGUGGGCCCAUACCUGGCCCUGCUCCCAGUAACUUGGGAACCCAAUUCUAAAACACACGUGGAAGUGACUGAGCUAAGGGGAAGUAGCUGACACAGAAGCAAAAGAGAAAAACAGGACAGCACACCGGGACUGAUCUCGGGGCUGCAACAAGCAAGACUGUGAAACUGGUUCAGGGAGAUACAAAAAACAGGCAUGCCAGAGAUUUUUUAGCAAUAAAGAAAUAGGGAACCAUAAUACUAAUAGUGUUAACACUUUUGUUGUAUUUUUCUUACAUUCUGACAAAUAUUUUUGUUCAUAAUGUAAAUUCAAUUUCCUGAGAAUUCACUCACAGAAGUUUCACCUCAGUUUUGGCUUGGAAAAUGCCAGGGUGAUGCCCUGUCACCAUGCAUAUGGUGUUUUGAAGUUUCCUGUUAUUUAUACAGCAAGAUAACAUUCCAUUUUCUAUACUUCUGUUUAGCAUAUGGGAAAGAAACAUAGUCCUCAAAGCUAUGCUUACAUAUAUAAAUAGAAUAUUCACAAUGGAGCAUGAAUAAGCCAUUAUUAUCUUUAUUCUUCCUCAAUGGAUGCUAGUGAGAGAAUCAAGUCAGGCACAAUAAGGAAUAAACUAAGAGUUAUAGUUAAAGAAUAUUCAAAGCCUAACCUUUUUAAGAUGCUUCUUAUUCUGUUAAUUUUCUUGUCCAAAUAGAAAUCAUUUAAUAAUCUGGGAUAAUGUACUGAAGCAAUGUAUACAUGUGGUAGGAAAAAAAAAUUCAAGAUAAACAAAAGGACAUGAACAAUUCUAAGGCCUUCAAUACUUAGAUUUGGAAAUGACUGUACAGAGUUCACUCUUAAGUCAGGGGUGACUUCUUUCAGUGCCCUCAGGACGGUACUGACAGAGGCCCAGCGGGGCCAGAGUGACAAAGUGAUUAACUUACUCAUGUCAGAUACACCCUGGAGGUUCAAAUGUGAGCCAGUCUGCUUAUUUGGAAUUUUAUUUCCUUCCUCAAGUCACCAGUCAUAAAACUGUAAGUAUUUUAUUAAAGAAAAUCAAUGAGAUUCACCAAGUAUGAAUAGGAGGGAAAAGGCAGACUCACCAUCUCUGCACCAAGCCUUACAAACCCAGGGCUGAGAUGCUGGACAGCUCUAAGGAGCUGCUGAAGGACGCUGGAGGCAAGAAUGCCAAGGGAGCACCGCAACCAUCUGCUAGGAGAAAACACCAUGAUACAGUUAACAUGCAGGCUGCUGCAGCUGAGGGAGUAAUAAGCAAUAACAACAAAAAAAGAGAUACAUGGAGACCUAGGGGAAAGAUCCUUCUGGUUUUAAAUUAAAAGAUUUGAACACGUGUACUGAAGAAUAAUUUGCACAGAGUAAAACUCACCCUUUAAAAAAUAGUGCACAGCUCUAUUAGUUUUGACAAACACAUGUGGCCACGUAACCUCCACCAUAAUGAGGAAACUGAACAGUCCAUCAGCCCUCAGGAUUCACUCAUGUCCUGCAUUUUCAUGCUUCUGCAAGGUGUCUGGGUGCACCACCAACCUGCAACCACUUUCUGCUAAACCUGGUGCUCAGGUUCUUCGGGUGCAGACACAGGAGUGUGAAUGCUGUGUCUACACCUUACUGUGCUUAGGAAGGCUCAGGGCACUCUGCAGAAAACCUGUGCGGCGGCACACAAGGCUUGGACACUGUGCACAUGUUCAGAUCAGUUACCUUCAUGAAGAUGGACCCAUAAAGGCAUCAUCUGUAGUGGGGAACUAGAAGACCCCACACUCUGAUCUCUGCAGAAGGAAUCGCUGGGAGGUAAUGCCCAUGAGGGCCGAAUGCCCCUCCUUGGGGCUGGUGGCUCUAGUCUCCCGGGAAUUUCCCUGCCUUUCCAACCCAAGGCCCCUGCACCUCACUGUCAGCCAGGGAUGAUCCCCUGUUGCUUGUGUUCUGGUAUAAAUGAAGUGCUGUGGACUGGGGAGUAUUUGGUCCAGAUGAACUCACUUGUCAUCCUACCAUGAGCACCCCCAGAGCCCUGCUGUCCUGGUGGCCACAACUGUGAGCCUGAGGAAGCCCUGGGUCCACUCCUACCUCGGGCAGCUCCUCUCUUUAUAAUUGUGGGGGUGACAUCUGUGUUCUUUAGUCUAAUCCUGUGCUUUCUUUACUAAGAUACUACAUGUUUUCUCAUUCAGGCAGCUAUCCCUUCUUAUUUUCUAUUCUAUUUAUUGACUCAUUAAUUUUAAACAUGUUUUAUGUCACAUGUUGGGAUAGUUUUGUGGGAGAGGAACACUACACCUUAGAAAUAUCUUUAUAAUAUUCUGCAUAUUCUGUAAGUACCCUUUUCUUUGGGAUCAACUUUUCAGGUUCACUGAAGGAAAGAAACAUACAGAAUUAACUGUA
This is a non-coding RNA of Manis javanica (Malayan pangolin), 7364 nucleotides long. NCBI's taxonomy places the organism in Eukaryota, Metazoa, Chordata, Mammalia, Pholidota, Manidae. The record is from RefSeq and is a predicted model, not a curated record.